This 1119-nucleotide long non-coding RNA is filed under the name Homo sapiens (human). Its description in RNAcentral is "lymphatic endothelial transcriptional regulator lncRNA 1". Lineage: Eukaryota; Metazoa; Chordata; Mammalia; Primates; Hominidae. The record is from RNAcentral.
CGUUCUCCAAGGCCAGAACGGGACAGAUGGAGAAAUUGAGAUGAGAGCUCAUCCACAAGAUUACCCAUCAAUGAGCACCAAUAGCAACCAAAUCCACUAGAAGACUGGGAGCUUUUAAGUCAAGAAACUUACAUCAGUAUCAUCAUUCCAAGAAGCGGUAUCCAAGCUGUUUUAUCGAAAGUGCGCAUGGGAGGCAGAUUUUGACUCCAAAAGUCCAGGAUGGGGCCUGAGGUUCUGCAUGUCUAACAAUUUCCCAGCUGAUGCCAAAGCUGCUGAUCAGAGUCUACACCUUAAGAAAUAAGACUCUGAGAAUUUAUAGAAACAAACAUUAGAAGGCAGGAAUGUGGAGAGAAGAAAGCUACCUGACAAGGGAAUCUCAGGAUACAAGGAAAACACCAAGAAGUCCCCAUGAGUCCCUACAGCCACAAUAAAUUGAAUUCUGCCAAAAAUCUUAAUAAGCUUGGAAGAAGACCUUCAGCUCCUGAUGAGAACCCAGCCAGAAACAAGAUGAGAACCCAGAAACAAGAUUUUCAUCUUAUUUCAACCUGAGCAGAGAACCCAGAGGAGCCCUGGCCAGAUUUUUGGUCUACAGGAUUGAGAAGACACCUGCCUGAGGGUCUUAUAGCUAAUGGACUGCAGAAGACUUGAGUCAUCAUUCAAAUUCAGUAGCCAUCCUCUGAUGUCCAGUUGAAGAUUGGUGAUUCCAGAAUAGCUCGCAUUGCCCCAGUUGACUUGCCACACAGCUUCUUUCAGGACUUGAAAAUGUCCUAGCCACCCCCAUCUUACCUCCUACUUCCAAUGCCUUUUAAGAUAGAAAACAAAAAACAAAACAACAAAAAAACACCAGCCACCCUUGUGGGUUAGAUAAUCCUACAUCAAGGUGAAUUCUUGAUAACCAGUUCUGUUCUUCCUUAUGUCUUGUAAACAUGCUAAUUAGAAGGAGCUUGUGUUUGAAGAUCAAGGGAGGAAGAAUUCUGAAGCCAGGGCUAGCCUUAGGGGACAUAACUCCUUCCAGUCACUUCCUGAAUUUUUUGGUACCUGGCUUUUGAGAGUCCUCCAAAGUGAGAAUUUCAUGACAUGUAACCUCUCAACACCUGCAUUUUAAAAAAUUGUCCAAAA